RNAcentral lists this ribosomal RNA (261 nucleotides) under uncultured bacterium. RNAcentral describes it as "partial 16S ribosomal RNA". It matches the Rfam family "Bacterial small subunit ribosomal RNA", at positions 524 to 784 of the family's 1533-position model. The record is from RNAcentral.
UACGGGGGGGGCAAGCGUUAAUCGGAAUUACUGGGCGUAAAGCGUGCGCAGGCGGUUUUGUAAGUCUGUCGUGAAAUCCCCGGGCUCAACCUGGGAAUUGCGAUGGAGACUGCAAGGCUAGAAUCUGGCAGAGGGGGGUAGAAUUCCACGUGUAGCAGUGAAAUGCGUAGAGAUGUGGAGGAACACCGAUGGCGAAGGCAGCCCCCUGGGUCAAGAUUGACGCUCAUGCACGAAAGCGUGGGGAGCAAAGAGGAUUAGAGU